RNAcentral lists this ribosomal RNA (497 nucleotides) under uncultured bacterium. Its description in RNAcentral is "partial 16S ribosomal RNA". It matches the Rfam family "Bacterial small subunit ribosomal RNA", at positions 28 to 507 of the family's 1533-position model. The record is from RNAcentral.
GACGAACGCUGGCGGCGUGCCUAAUACAUGCAAGUUGAGCGCUGAAGGUUGGUACUUGUACCGACUGGAUGAGCAGCGAACGGGUGAGUAACGCGUGGGGAAUCUGCCUUUGAGCGGGGGACAACAUUUGGAAACGAAUGCUAAUACCGCAUAAAAACUUUAAACACAAGUUUUAAGUUUGAAAGAUGCAAUUGCAUCACUCAAAGAUGAUCCCGCGUUGUAUUAGCUAGUUGGUGAGGUAAAGGCUCACCAAGGCGAUGAUACAUAGCCGACCUGAGAGGGUGAUCGGCCACAUUGGGACUGAGACACGGCCCAAACUCCUACGGGAGGCAGCAGUAGGGAAUCUUCGGCAAUGGACGAAAGUCUGACCGAGCAACGCCGCGUGAGUGAAGAAGGUUUUCGGAUCGUAAAACUCUGUUGGUAGAGAAGAGCGUUGGUGAGAGUGGAAAGCUCAUCAAGUGACGGUAACUACCCAGAAAGGGACGGCUAACUACGUG